Molecule: transfer RNA, 73 nt
Filed under: Candidatus Microgenomates bacterium
Lineage: Bacteria; Candidatus Microgenomatota
Description: tRNA-Thr
Rfam family: tRNA
About the family: Transfer RNA (tRNA) molecules are approximately 80 nucleotides in length. Their secondary structure includes four short double-helical elements and three loops (D, anti-codon, and T loops). Further hydrogen bonds mediate the characteristic L-shaped molecular structure. tRNAs have two regions of fundamental functional importance: the anti-codon, which is responsible for specific mRNA codon recognition, and the 3' end, to which the tRNAs corresponding amino acid is attached (by aminoacyl-tRNA synthetases). tRNAs cope with the degeneracy of the genetic code in two manners: having more than one tRNA (with a specific anti-codon) for a particular amino acid; and 'wobble' base-pairing, i.e. permitting non-standard base-pairing at the 3rd anti-codon position.
Source: RNAcentral
GCCGGAGUAACUCAGUUGGUAGAGUAGCUGUUUCGUAAAUAGCAAGUCGUGGGUCCGAAUCCCACCUCCGGCU